RNAcentral lists this antisense RNA (169 nucleotides) under Vibrio hippocampi. RNAcentral's name for it is "V_AS7". It matches the Rfam family "Vibrio RNA AS7". Rfam says of the family: Identified by direct cloning an parallel sequencing experiments with 5S/tRNA depletion. Confirmed by Northern blot. The record is from RNAcentral. Lineage: Bacteria; Pseudomonadati; Pseudomonadota; Gammaproteobacteria; Vibrionales; Vibrionaceae.
GGGGUUUGCAGUAACAGUUUGCUGCGGUCGGUAAUGUCACCACCGAUAUGAUACGGCAACCCGCAGUUGGCAAAGGAAACAAACGCACCGCGCUCAAACAUAAUGAUUUGAGCAUCUUCGCUAAGACGACGCGCUCUCGCCGCGGCAGAUGCUCCGCCUGCUACACCAC